GACGAACGCUGGCGGCGUGCUUAACACAUGCCAGUCGAACGGUGAAGCGCCUUCCUUUUUGGUGGGUGUGGAUGAGUGGCGAACGGGUGAGUAACACGUUAGUAACCUGCCCCCUUCUUCUGGAUAACCGCAUGAAAGUGUGGCUAAUACGGGAUAUUCUGGGUCUGUCGCAUGAUGGGUCUGGGAAAGAUAUUGUUUCGGUGGGGGAUGGGCUCGCGGCCUAUCAGCUUGUUGGUGGGGUGAUGGCCUACCAAGGCGGUGACGGGUAGCCGGCCUGGGAGGGUGGACGGGAACAGAGGGACUGAGACACGGAGAAGACUACGAGGGGAGGCAGCAGGGGGGAAUAUGGAACAAUGGGAGGAAGCCUGAUGCAGCGACGCGGCGUGAGGGAUGGAGGCCUUCGGGUUGUGAACCUCUUUCGCCAGUGAAGCAGGCCUGCCUCGUAUGUGGGUGGGUUGACGGUAGCUGGAUAAGAAGCGCCGGCUAACUACGUG
Molecule: ribosomal RNA, 494 nt
Filed under: uncultured bacterium
Lineage: Bacteria
Description: partial 16S ribosomal RNA
Rfam family: Bacterial small subunit ribosomal RNA
Source: RNAcentral